GAUAAACGCUGGCGGCGUGCUUAACACAUGCAAGUCGAACGAAGUUUUUCUUUCGGGAGGAACUUAGUGGCGGACGGGUGAGUAACGCGUGGGUAACCUGCCCUGUACAGGGGGACAACAGCUGGAAACGGCUGCUAAUACCGCAUAAGCCCUUAGCACUGCAUGGUGCAUAGGGAAAAGGAGCAAUCCGGUACAGGAUGGACCCGCGUCUGAUUAGCCAGUUGGCAGGGUAACGGCUUACCAAAGCGACGAUCAGUAGCCGAUCUGAGAGGAUGUACGGCCACAUUGGGACUGAGACACGGCCCAGACUCCUACGGGAGGCAGCAGUGGGGAAUAUUGCACAAUGGAGGAAACUCUGAUGCAGCGACGCCGCGUGAGUGAAGAAGUAUUUCGGUAUGUAAAGCUCUAUCAGCAGGAAAGAAAAUGACGGUACCUGACUAAGAAGCACCGGCUAAAUACGUG
Molecule: ribosomal RNA, 462 nt
Filed under: uncultured bacterium
Lineage: Bacteria
Description: partial 16S ribosomal RNA
Rfam family: Bacterial small subunit ribosomal RNA
Source: RNAcentral